RNAcentral lists this ribosomal RNA (253 nucleotides) under uncultured bacterium. RNAcentral's name for it is "partial 16S ribosomal RNA". It matches the Rfam family "Bacterial small subunit ribosomal RNA", at positions 524 to 776 of the family's 1533-position model. The record is from RNAcentral.
UACGUAGGUGGCAAGCGUUGUCCGGAAUUAUUGGGCGUAAAGCGCGCGCAGGUGGUUUCUUAAGUCUGAUGUGAAAGCCCACGGCUCAACCGUGGAGGGUCAUUGGAAACUGGGGAACUUGAGUGCAGAAGAGGAAAGUGGAAUUCCAAGUGUAGCGGUGAAAUGCGUAGAUAUCUGGAGGAACACCGGUGGCGAAGGCGGCGUUCUGGACUGCAACUGACACUGAGGAACGAAAGCCAGGGGAGCAAACGGG